AUUGAACGCUGGCGGCAUGCCUUACACAUGCAAGUCGAACGGCAGCACGGGAGCAAUCCUGGUGGCGAGUGGCGAACGGGUGAGUAAUAUAUCGGAACGUGCCCGGUCGUGGGGAUAACGUAGCGAAAGCUACGCUAAUACCGCAUACGAUCUACGGAUGAAAGCGGGGGAUCGCAAGACCUCGCGCGAUUGGAGCGGCCGAUAUCAGAUUAGGGUAGUUGGUGAGGUAAAGGCUCACCAAGCCGACGAUCUGUAGCUGGUCUGAGAGGACGACCAGCCACACUGGGACUGAGACACGGCCCAGACUCCUACGGGAGGCAGCAGUGGGGAAUUUUGGACAAUGGGCGCAAGCCUGAUCCAGCAAUGCCGCGUGCAGGAUGAAGGCCU
This 387-nucleotide ribosomal RNA is filed under the name uncultured bacterium. Its description in RNAcentral is "bacterial SSU rRNA". It matches the Rfam family "Bacterial small subunit ribosomal RNA", at positions 29 to 417 of the family's 1533-position model. The record is from RNAcentral.